RNAcentral lists this ribosomal RNA (397 nucleotides) under uncultured bacterium. RNAcentral describes it as "partial 16S ribosomal RNA". It matches the Rfam family "Bacterial small subunit ribosomal RNA", at positions 523 to 918 of the family's 1533-position model. The record is from RNAcentral.
AUACGUAGGGGGCGAGCGUUGUCCGGAAUGAUUGGGCGUAAAGGGCGCGUAGGCGGCGCGGUAAGUCUGGAGUGAAAGUCCUGCUUUCAAGGUGGGAAUUGCUUUGGAUACUGCCGCGCUUGAGUGCAGGAGAGGUUAUCGGAAUACCCGGUGUAGCGGUGAAAUGCGUAGAGAUCGGGAGGAACACCAGUGGCGAAGGCGGGUAACUGGACUGCAACUGACGCUGAGGCGCGAAAGUGUGGGGAGCAAACAGGAUUAGAUACCCUGGUAGUCCACACUGUAAACGAUGAAUGCUAGGUGUAAGAGGUAUCGACCCCUUUUGUGCCGGAGUCAACACAAUAAGCAUUCCGCCUUGGGAGUACGGCCGCAAGGUUGAAACUCAAAUGAAUUGACGGGG